GACAGAGGUGGCGAGCGUUGUUCGGAUUCACUGGGUGUAAAGGGCGCGCAGGCGGGUUAGCAAGUCAGAGGUGAAAUCCUACAGCUUAACUGUAGAACUGCCUUUGAAACUGUUAAUCUUGAGUGCGGAAGAGAGAGACGGAAUUCCAGGUGUAGCGGUGAAAUGCGUAGAUAUCUGGAAGAACACCAGUUGCGAAGGCGGUCUCUUGGUCCGUAACUGACGCUCAGGCGCGAAAGCGUGGGGAG
RNAcentral lists this ribosomal RNA (245 nucleotides) under uncultured Ignavibacterium sp. RNAcentral's name for it is "partial 16S ribosomal RNA". It matches the Rfam family "Bacterial small subunit ribosomal RNA", at positions 524 to 768 of the family's 1533-position model. The record is from RNAcentral. Lineage: Bacteria; Pseudomonadati; Ignavibacteriota; Ignavibacteria; Ignavibacteriales; Ignavibacteriaceae.